UGUGCGGCCCUGCGCAACAGUCAGGUGUGAAUCUCGUCAGGUCCGGAAGGAAGCAGCGAUAAGCGUUUUGCCUGUGUGCCGCAGCAAGCCGUUCACGG
This 98-nucleotide signal recognition particle RNA is filed under the name Nitrospirota bacterium. Its description in RNAcentral is "Nitrospirae bacterium (bioreactor metagenome) signal recognition particle sRNA small type". It matches the Rfam family "Bacterial small signal recognition particle RNA". From Rfam's summary of the family: The signal recognition particle (SRP) is a universally conserved ribonucleoprotein involved in the co-translational targeting of proteins to membranes. The record is from RNAcentral. Lineage: Bacteria; Pseudomonadati; Nitrospirota.